UCCGUAGGUGAACCUGCGGAAGGAUCAUUAAUUAUGUUAAAGCGCCUUACCUUAGGGUUUCCUCUGGGGUAAGUGAUUGCUUCUACACUGUGAAAAUUUGGCUGAGAGACUCAGACUGGUCAUGGGUAGACCUAUCUGGGGUUUGAUCGAUGCCACUCCUGGUUUCAGGAGCACCCUUCAUAAUAAACCUAGAAAUUCAGUAUUAUAAAGUUUAAUAAAAAACAACUUUUAACAAUGGAUCUCUUGGUUCUCGCAUCGAUGAAGAACGUAGCAAAGUGCGAUAACUAGUGUGAAUUGCAUAUUCAGUGAAUCAUCGAGUCUUUGAACGCAGCUUGCACUCUAUGGUUUUUCUAUAGAGUACGCCUGCUUCAGUAUCAUCACAAACCCACACAUAACAUUUGUUUAUGUGGUAAUGGGUCGCAUCGCUGUUUUAUUACAGUGAGCACCUAAAAUGUGUGUGAUUUUCUGUCUGGCUUGCUAGGCAGGAAUAUUACGCUGGUCUCAGGAUCUUUUUCUUUGGUUCGCCCAGGAAGUAAAGUACAAGAGUAUAAUCCAGCAACUUUCAAACUAUGAUCUGAAGUCAGGUGGGAUUACCCGCUGAACUUAAGCAUAUCAAUAAGCGGAGGAAAAGA
This 632-nucleotide ribosomal RNA is filed under the name Rhizopus arrhizus. RNAcentral describes it as "eukaryotic LSU rRNA". The stretch from base 224 to 377 matches the Rfam family "5.8S ribosomal RNA". The record is from RNAcentral. Lineage: Eukaryota; Fungi; Mucoromycota; Mucoromycetes; Mucorales; Rhizopodaceae.